CAGGUACUUCAUGGAUAGAACAGGUACUUCAUGCAUAGUACAGAUACUUCAUGGAUAGAACAGGUACUUCAUGCAUAGUACAGAUACUUCAUGCAUAGUACAGAUACUUCAUGGAUAGAACAGGUACUUCAUGCAUAGUACAGAUACUUCAUGGAUAGUACAGGUACUUCAUGCAUAGUACAGAUACUUCAUGGAUAGUACAGGUACUUCAUGGGUAGAACAGGUACUUCAUGGGUAGAACAGGUACUUCAUGGAUAGUACAGAUACUUCAUGGGUAGUACAGGUACUUCAUGGGUAGGUCAGGUACUUCAUGGAUAGACCAGGUACUUCAUGGAUAGAACAGGUACUUCAUGGAUAGAAUAGGUACUUCAUGGGUAGUACAGAUACUUCAUGGAUAGUACAGAUACUUCAUGGGUAGUACAGGUACUUCAUGGAUAGAACAGGUACUUCAUGGGUAGAACAGGUACUGUGUAAUAGACUAUUCACAGUCCCUUUGUACGGUCCUUUAUAAUGUUGCUUUCACUCAUUUUGCUUUACCAUAUGCUGUAAUCACCCAAUUCACUGUUACUAUUAUUACUUUGAACAAAGAGUUAUCAAUUAGAUCAAUUGAGAAUAAGAAAUGUAAAGGUUAUAUUUUACAUUAGCUUAUUCGUUUCCCAAUGCUCUUCCUUUCUUUAUGUGCAUCUAAGUUCCUGACCUGUAUAGUUUUUCUUCUUCCUGAGUAACUUCUUUUAACAUUUUUCUAAGACAAGUCUG
This 756-nucleotide long non-coding RNA is filed under the name Equus asinus (donkey). RNAcentral's name for it is "lncRNA (ENSEASG00005035813.1)". The record is from RNAcentral. Lineage: Eukaryota; Metazoa; Chordata; Mammalia; Perissodactyla; Equidae.